Molecule: RNA transcript, 2598 nt
Organism: Pezoporus occidentalis (night parrot)
Lineage: Eukaryota; Metazoa; Chordata; Aves; Psittaciformes; Psittacidae
Gene: AQP11
Gene name: aquaporin 11
Exons: 4
Source: RefSeq, a predicted model, not a curated record
GGACGGAGCUUCCCUUCCAACGGCUGCCGACGGGGAGGCAGAGCCACCGGCUCCACUGAGGGGCUGGGGCUCGGGCUCGGCUCCGGGUCCGCCGGCAGCGGGGGCCCGCUUUAACCUUCUCCGCUCUCCGGCUGGCUGAGGGGAGCUCGCCCGCCUCACCGCUGAGGGAGAGCGGAGCCCCCUUCUUCCCGCCCCGUGCUCCUUUAGCACCGCAAAGGGAGACCUUUCUCCUCCCAGCCGCUUCCCAGGAGGACUCAGGGAUCCCCCUGCCUUCCCCCCCGGUGCAGCCGGGCUCCCUGCCCUUUGCUCCCGGCAAGCGGCGGGUGAGUCAGGCGCCUCGCAGGCUCCGAGCAGGUGGGGACCGAAGCUGGCAAGGGAAAGGGGUGGGCAUUUUCCCUCCCUCCUCCUGCUGCCUUUCUCUCCAUAGGUGGUGGGGCUGGAGCGGGGUGAAGCCCUCCGUCCUGUCAGCCUCUCGCCAUGGCUGUCGGUGGGGCUGGGGUCUCGCUCCUCUUCAUGACCAGCGUCGUGGUGGCCGUGGGGCUGUGCAAGAGGCUGCUCCGCCGCCGGCUGUACUCAGACCGCCGCCUUUUCACCGCCCUCACGGAGCUGUUGAGCACCUUCCAGAUCUGUGCCUGCACGAACGAGCUCUGCCUGCUCGGCAACGUGGAGCCGAAGCCUCACGUCGCGCUCAGCCUCACCUACGGCUUCACCGUCCUUCACGGCCUGACUCUGACCGGCAGCGCAUGCAAUCCCUGCGGCACGCUGCAGCCCAUGUGGAGCGGUGGGAUAGCGCUCAAGACGGGAGGGCUCAAGAUCGCCGCUCAGUUCGUGGCUGCGGUGCUUGCCAGGGUGUUCGUGCGUUGUAUCUGGAGCCUGGGGAUGGCAGAGGCACAUUCUGGAGCCCUCUCGCAGGGCUGCAGCAGCCCCAUGCAGACUACAGUGAUGCAGGCGUUCUGCAUAGAGCUGCUCUUUUCUGCCGUUUUCCAGCUGACCUUGCUGCGAGCGGAGAGAGUUAACCCCAAAUACAGAGUCCAUCUGAUGGCUCUUCUCAUCACCAUGCUCGUGUAUGCAGGUGGAAAUCUCACAGGAGCAAUAUUUAACCCAGCAUUGGCUUUGUCAUUACACCCACACUGUUUCUAUGAGAAGUUUCUGAGUUACUCACUAGUAUAUUGGGUAGCACCGUCCUUGGGUACAAUACUUGUGGCUUUUAUAUGGGGUGAAAUCCUUCCCCGGAUCUCCUGAGCCAUCAAAUUCUGACACCAAGCAGUGACAUUGAAAUACACUUUCAACAUCUGCAGAUGUGAAGCUGCCAGAAAACUGCUGACCUCAACUUCUGCACCACCUUUCAGCUCUAUUUCCAGACUUCAUGUUUGAAGUCUUUGACUUCCAACUUGGUAUUCAAACACUUCUUUAGUAAUAGCACACUGGGAUCUUGAGAUACGUGCCACCAUUAAACCCUAGGAAUGUGAAGGACAGUUAAAACUCUGCAACUUUGUCACUUUAGCCAGAAGUGCCAUUUGCUGACCUUUAUUACAACAGUUUGCAAAGCUCAUUUUAGAGACAUACUCAGUCCUUGUAACGACUGCUGGAUUUCUUCCCGUAGAAGGCACCUGCAUAAAAAAAGCUGAAGAUUUCAUUCUUCUAUUGAUCUUAUCAUACUCCUCCUUGCAACACAGGAGAGGAAGAAAGGCUACACUGCUCCCUAGAAGAGGCCCCAUAGCUCUAUUCUAGAGACACCUUACACCGAUAUUAAGAGUCUGUAGGACCAGCACUGUUUUACCAAUAACUGAAUGCAGGUGGCCCAGGAAAUGGCUCCAUUGGACUUUGUGCUCUACAAGAAUGCACCAAACCCAAAGGACAUGGGCUCAGAAUCACAGUUGCUGAAGGAAUGGACUGAGACCUGCAGCACUGAGCUGGUUGUGAGAUACAAAAGAAAUCUUAGUUUAUUUCACAACAUUGUUAACGUGUGAUACAAAGACACAAAACAGUUCCCUCUUUCAGGACUUUACACUCUUAGUCCAUCUCCUCUCCCACCCAAACCCUGCUCUCAGAGAAAUAAAAGGGAUAGCACAGAACUGACCCCAGUCACUUAAGGGGCAUUACAUGUAGCUUUGCUUUCAGUCCCUGGCUGACCCUAUGUCCUUUUAGUCCAGCUUUGAAACGUUUCUAGUCCCAUUUUACCCACCUCAAUGAACAGGUACAAAAAUACAGGGAAUUCCAGGACAAUCUAAAAUUGUUCUACUUACAGUUGGAUUUCUCGAGUCCCAGAACUCCUACAAAGGCUUCUCUGAAUGCCCCCUGAUUAGCCCCAUUCAAGUGUUAGAUGCAAAGAGGUUUUAUUGGGUUGGUUGGUUGGUUCUGGCUGCUUAAAUAACCCCAUAGUGGUCACAAAUGUCAAACCCUGGUUUAAACAUCUAUAAAAGCAUUUUUAGACCUUAGAUGUCUGAAGCUUAGGUCAUUAAAAGAAAGGUUAACUCCUGAUAGUCACUGCCAUGCCUUCAGUUUUACAGCUUAUUCUGCAAGUGCCACAAGAGGAAUCUGAAAGAUACAAGACACCAAGUUUACACGAUUAAAAUAAAGGUUAUUUAUCUUUACAAA